Molecule: non-coding RNA, 69 nt
Organism: Heterocephalus glaber (naked mole-rat)
Lineage: Eukaryota; Metazoa; Chordata; Mammalia; Rodentia; Bathyergidae
Source: Rfam
GGGAAUGUAGCUCAGCAGUGCAGCGUCUGCCUGGCAAGCUCAAGUCCCUGAGUUCAAUUCUCAGUACCA